Molecule: ribosomal RNA, 708 nt
Filed under: uncultured soil bacterium
Lineage: Bacteria
Description: bacterial SSU rRNA
Rfam family: Bacterial small subunit ribosomal RNA
Source: RNAcentral
AACGCUGGCGGCGUGCCUUAGGCAUGCAAGUCGAACGGGAAUAGUAAUAUUCAAGUGGCAGACGGGUGAGUAACGCGUAGGAAUCUACCUCUGGGUAGGGCAUAGCCGGCCGAAAGGUCGGGUAAUUCCCUAUAGUCCCGCAAGGGUAAAGGACUUAACGGUCCGCCGAGAGAGGAGCCUGCGUCCCAUCAGCUAGUUGGUAAGGUAAAAGCUUACCAAGGCGAUGACGGGUAGCUGGACUGAGAGGUCGAUCAGCCACAAUUGCACUUAGACACGGGCAAUACACCUACGGGUGGCAGCAACCAGGAAUAUUGCGCAAUGGACGAAAGUCUGACGCAGCGACGCCGCGUGGGGGAUGAAGGUCUUCGGAUUGUAAACCCCUUUCGGGAGGGAAGAUGGAACGAGCAAUCGUUCGGACGGUACCUCCAGAAGCAGCCACGGCUAACUUCGUGCCAGCAGCCGCGGUAAUACGAAGGUGGCAAGCGUUAUUCGGAUUUACUGGGCGUACAGGGAGCGUAGGCGGUUCGGUAAGCCCUCUGUGAAAUCUCCAGGCUUAACCUGGAACAGUCGGAGGGGACUGCUGGGCUAGAGGACGGGAGAGGAGCGCGGAAUUCCCGGUGUAGCGGUGAAAUGCGUAGAGAUCGGGAGGAAGGCCGGUGGCGAAGGCGGCGCUCUGGAACGUUUCUGACGCUGAGGCUCGAAAGCGUG